UACGGGGGGGGCAAGCGUUAUUCUUCAUUACUGGGCGUAAAGGGUGCGUAGGUGGUCUAUUAAGUUCUAAUUUAAAGUCCAGAGUUUAACUUUGGGAAAAAUUUUUAUACUAAUAUGACUAGAGUACCAGAGAGGAUAGUAGAAUUUUUAGAGUAGUGAUGAAAUACGUAGAUACUAAAAGGAAUACCAUAAGCGAAGGCGACUAUCUGGAUGGAUACUGACACUGAGGCACGAAAGUAUGGGGA
RNAcentral lists this ribosomal RNA (245 nucleotides) under uncultured bacterium. Its description in RNAcentral is "partial 16S ribosomal RNA". It matches the Rfam family "Bacterial small subunit ribosomal RNA", at positions 524 to 767 of the family's 1533-position model. The record is from RNAcentral.